UUAUAUUUCUUUACGGAGGGAGUACUAUAUCAUGUCACCCAGACUUGGAAUCAGAUCGAAUUGUUUUUGGAUGUUAGAAAUCGGUUGCCAUGCCCUAUACAGCCGGGUUCAGAAAUGGUCUAGACCCAAAAUUAUCCUAACCGCUUCCACACUUAGCCACAACACACACAAGGCAAUGGUUAAUGGACAGGAUUUCUGAAGCUUCUGAGUUCCACUCCAUGAUUUUUGCGGGGGCUAUAUGGCAUAUAUGGGAGAACAGGAACUCAUGUCGCAAUGGUUCCAACAGGCGUGAGACAUCGACAUCAAUUCAGAAAUGGUCUCCGCCGCCGGAAGGCCUGCUCAUGAUCAAUGUGGAUGCUGCAAUUUUCUCAAAAUCUGGACGCGCUGGGUUCGGAUUGGUAAUGUGUGAUUAUAAGGGACUGGUGCGAGCUGCUUGCCGUGGCUUUCUUAAUCAUGUAUAUUGUCCUGAGGUUGCUGAAGCCUAUGCUAUAUGCCAAGCAUUCAUUCUUGCUGAAAACACAGGGGUCCAAAGGCUUGAGGUGGCUUCUGAUUGUCUCUCGGUGAUUAAGAAAGUCCAACAACAAAGCAUGGACAGAUCCCUGACUGGUGCUACUACUAAUUCUCCAUACUUGCGAAAUUUAUUGGAGAAAAGGAAGGCAAGCUGAAAAAUAGAAAGAUACAAAGUUGGGUUACUAACUAUUUCAUUAAAAUAACAAAAAUAAUCAACGUAAAUUUAGCGUUAAUUAGCUUAUCAAUUUGAGAUGACAGGGGGCUUUGUCCGUAGUUACAAAAUCUAGUCAUGUCCUACAACACGGUUCCAUUUUUUGGUACAUAUUCCACUCAGAUUCUUAUUUUUUUAUCGUUACUUUUUACUAGAAGGCAUGAAAGUCGUGGUUCAAGAAACAAAUAAUAAUAAGAUGGUGUGUAAACACUAAAUAAUAAUAGUUGUCGGCAUGGUAGAAGAAAAAUCAACAACAAAACCCCAUGAGACGCAUGGUUCCACACUUGAACAACAUUAUACAUGUGCGUAAUCGCUACUUACUCCGUUCCAUAAUUCUUGUGGUUUGUUUUAAUUCAAAUCGUAAUUUAUUCAACAUGACCGAGUUACCAAACAACGACCAAGGAAACAGUACAGCUUAGAUUUUAAGCACCUACAAUCAUAGAGGAGAGCAUGCAAACCUUAUUUAUCUGGACUGGAGAUGUACACAGUACACACUCGUAGAAAACAUGGCUAACGUUCGGGCCUGGCCAGCCCAUUAGUCCCGGUUCUUCAAGAACCGGGACCCAUGGGGGGUAUUAGACACGGUUCGUGAGCCCAGGGGGGCGGCCGGGUCUGGCAAUACGAGAACAGGAGUAGAGCUCGUCGCUAGCUUCAAAGCCUCAAAUGCCUCCUGAGCUAAAGUAGACCACUCCAACUGCUUCUGCUUCAAUAACCGAGUUAGUGGUUUGGCAAUGACACCAUAGCCCUUCAUUUGCGAUAGGUGCAUUCCAUACAGGGGCUAAGUUCUAACAACAGAUAUAGCAUUAUGCAUGUCCAAAUGAUUGAUAUGCACGAGUCUGUCAUGUGCUAGAUAACUGAAUUUACCUGACGACGAAUCCAGUGUCCUGCAUCCACUCCCAGGGGGUCUGAUACCCACGGCCGUCACAGAAACAAGCAAGGCUGUACACUCCAUGCUCCCAC
This 1681-nucleotide long non-coding RNA is filed under the name Triticum aestivum (bread wheat). RNAcentral's name for it is "long non-coding RNA (TAES_LNC011095)". Lineage: Eukaryota; Viridiplantae; Streptophyta; Magnoliopsida; Poales; Poaceae. The record is from RNAcentral.